Molecule: ribosomal RNA, 229 nt
Filed under: uncultured Staphylococcus sp.
Lineage: Bacteria; Bacillati; Bacillota; Bacilli; Caryophanales; Staphylococcaceae
Description: partial 16S ribosomal RNA
Rfam family: Bacterial small subunit ribosomal RNA
Source: RNAcentral
UAACACGUGGAUAACCUACCUAUAAGACUGGGAUAACUUCGGGAAACCGGAGCUAAUACCGGAUAAUAUUUUGAACCGCAUGGUUCAAAAGUGAAAGACGGUCUUGCUGUCACUUAUAGAUGGAUCCGCGCUGCAUUAGCUAGUUGGUAAGGUAACGGCUUACCAAGGCAACGAUGCAUAGCAGACCUGAGAGGGUGAUCGGCCACACUGGAACUGAGACACGGUCCAG